AUCACCGCCGCACCCUUUCUUCUCUCAUUCAUCCACAUCCUUGCCCCAAAGAUGGCAUCUCUUUUUCGGUGCAAAUGUUUGGUGUUAUUCACCGAUCUCACAUCACAAACGGGUCUGGCUAAUCAUUUUGGAGCAGACUAUAGCAUGUUGAUUGUUCAUGGCGUUUCAAGGGCUCAAUUGAGAAAGGUCGUUAGGUACAUCAGUGCACAGAAACUUGCAGUCUAAGGAGCUUGAAGUGUCAUGUUGCCUGUUGUUUGAAGAGAACAUUUAAUA
Helianthus annuus (common sunflower) is the source of this 273-nucleotide long non-coding RNA. RefSeq lists it as uncharacterized. The transcript is spliced from 3 exons. The record is from RefSeq and is a predicted model, not a curated record. Lineage: Eukaryota; Viridiplantae; Streptophyta; Magnoliopsida; Asterales; Asteraceae.